AACGAACGCUGGCGGCAUGCCUAACACAUGCAGGUCGAACGAGACCUUCGGGUCUAGUGGCGCACGGGUGCGUAACGCGUGGGAACCUGCCCUUAGGUUCGGAAUAACUCCCCGAAGGGGGUGCUAAUACCGGAUAAUGUCUUCGGACCAAAGAUUUAUCGCCUUUGGAUGGGCCCGCGUUGGAUUAGCUAGUUGGUAGGGUAAAAGCCUACCAAGGCGACGAUCCAUAGCUGGUCUGAGAGGAUGAUCAGCCACACUGGGACUGAGACACGGCCCAGACUCCUACGGGAGGCAGCAGUGGGGAAUAUUGGACAAUGGGCGAAAGCCUGAUCCAGCAAUGCCGCGUGAGUGAUGAAGGCCUUAGGGUUGUAAAGCUCUUUUACCCGGGAUGAUAAUGACAGUACCGGGAGAAUAAGCUCCGGCUAACUCCGUG
RNAcentral lists this ribosomal RNA (433 nucleotides) under uncultured bacterium. RNAcentral's name for it is "partial 16S ribosomal RNA". It matches the Rfam family "Bacterial small subunit ribosomal RNA", at positions 29 to 507 of the family's 1533-position model. The record is from RNAcentral.